Molecule: ribosomal RNA, 1115 nt
Filed under: Sarocladium spinificis
Lineage: Eukaryota; Fungi; Ascomycota; Sordariomycetes; Hypocreales; Sarocladiaceae
Description: partial large subunit ribosomal RNA
Rfam family: Eukaryotic large subunit ribosomal RNA
Source: RNAcentral
CCGAGUUGUAAUUUGCAGAGGAUGCUUUUGGCGAGGUGCCUUCCGAGUUCCCUGGAACGGGACGCCAUAGAGGGUGAGAGCCCCGUACGGUAGGACCACCGAGCCUCUGUAAAGCUCCUUCGACGAGUCGAGUAGUUUGGGAAUGCUGCUCUAAAUGGGAGGUGUACGUCUUCUAAAGCUAAAUACCGGCCAGAGACCGAUAGCGCACAAGUAGAGUGAUCGAAAGAUGAAAAGCACUUUGAAAAGAGGGUUAAAAAGUACGUGAAAUUGUUGAAAGGGAAGCAUUCAUGACCAGACUUGGGCUUGGUUGAACAUCCGGCGUUCUCGCCGGUGCACUCUGCCAGUCCAGGCCAGCAUCAGUUUGCCCCGGGGGAUAAAGGCGGUGGGAAUGUGGCACCCUCCGGGGUGUGUUAUAGCCCGCCGUGUAAUGCCCUGGGGCGGACUGAGGAACGCGCUUCGGCACGGAUGCUGGCGUAAUGGUCAUCAAUGACCCGUCUUGAAACACGGACCAAGGAGUCGUCUUCGUAUGCGAGUGUUCGGGUGUCAAACCCCUACGCGUAAUGAAAGUGAACGUAGGUGAGAGCUUCGGCGCAUCACCGACCGAUCCUGAUGUUCUCGGAUGGAUUUGAGUAAGAGCAUACGGGGCCGGACCCGAAAGAAGGUGAACUAUGCCUGUAUAGGGUGAAGCCAGAGGAAACUCUGGUGGAGGCUCGCAGCGGUUCUGACGUGCAAAUCGAUCGUCAAAUAUGGGCAUGGGGGCGAAAGACUAAUCGAACCUUCUAGUAGCUGGUUUCCGCCGAAGUUUCCCUCAGGAUAGCAGUGUUGAACUCAGUUUUAUGAGGUAAAGCGAAUGAUUAGGGACCCGGGGGCGCUAUUUAGCCUUCAUCCAUUCUCAAACUUUAAAUAUGUAAGAAGCUCUUGUUACUUAAUUGAACGUGGGCAUUCGAAUGUAUCAACACUAGUGGGCCAUUUUUGGUAAGCAGAACUGGCGAUGCGGGAUGAACCGAACGCGAGGUUAAGGUGCCAGAGUAGACGCUCAUCAGACACCACAAAAGGUGUUAGUACAUCUUGACAGCAGGACGGUGGCCAUGGAAGUCGGAAUCCGCUAAGGACUG